Molecule: ribosomal RNA, 465 nt
Filed under: Vreelandella stevensii
Lineage: Bacteria; Pseudomonadati; Pseudomonadota; Gammaproteobacteria; Oceanospirillales; Halomonadaceae
Description: partial 16S ribosomal RNA
Rfam family: Bacterial small subunit ribosomal RNA
Source: RNAcentral
CCUACGGGGGGCAGCAGUGGGGAAUAUUGGACAAUGGGGGGAACCCUGAUCCAGCCAUGCCGCGUGUGUGAAGAAGGCCCUCGGGUUGUAAAGCACUUUCAGUGAGGAAGAACGCCUGGUGGUUAAUACCCAUCAGGAAAGACAUCACUCACAGAAGAAGCACCGGCUAACUCCGUGCCAGCAGCCGCGGUAAUACGGAGGGUGCGAGCGUUAAUCGGAAUUACUGGGCGUAAAGCGCGCGUAGGUGGCUUGAUAAGCCGGUUGUGAAAGCCCCGGGCUCAACCUGGGAACGGCAUCCGGAACUGUCCAGCUAGAGUGCAGGAGAGGAAGGUAGAAUUGCCGGUGUAGCGGUGAAAUGCGUAGAGAUCGGGAGGAAUACCAGUGGCGAAGGCGGCCUUCUGGACUGACACUGACACUGAGGUGCGAAAGCGUGGGUAGCAAACAGGAUUAGAUACCCUGGUAGUA